AACUUUUAGCAACGGAUCUCUUGGCUCUGGCAUCGAUGAAGAACGCAGCGAAAUGCGAUACGUAAUGUGAAUUGCAGAAUUCAGUGAAUCAUCGAAUCUUUGAACGCACAUUGCGCCCGCCAGCACUCUGGCGGGCAUGCCUGUUCGAGCGUCA
RNAcentral lists this ribosomal RNA (154 nucleotides) under fungal sp. mh1548.5.1. RNAcentral describes it as "5.8S ribosomal RNA". It matches the Rfam family "5.8S ribosomal RNA". From Rfam's summary of the family: 5.8S ribosomal RNA (5.8S rRNA) is a component of the large subunit of the eukaryotic ribosome. Lineage: Eukaryota; Fungi. The record is from RNAcentral.